RNAcentral lists this long non-coding RNA (287 nucleotides) under Ananas comosus (pineapple). Its description in RNAcentral is "long non-coding RNA (ACOM_LNC027130)". Lineage: Eukaryota; Viridiplantae; Streptophyta; Magnoliopsida; Poales; Bromeliaceae. The record is from RNAcentral.
AAAGUUUGUUCGAUGCACAGACCAUCCCUAGAGCAAGUGGCAAAGGGUUUGGUGGUUGGUACCCAAGACCCAAGUUUGAAUCCUAGUUGAUUCACAUUUCUAGCUAAGUUUAUUUCUAAAUGAAAUAAACGAAGCGGAUAGCGUGCUACCUAUCUCUCUCAAAAAAAAAAAAAAAAGUUUGUUCGAUGCUCUGAUGCAUCGCACCACACUGCAUUAAGAUGUAAUGCCAAACGAAGUUUUUGACGGUUGUUUAUCAAAUAGCAUUGUACAAAAUAGCAAGACCUAAU